Molecule: long non-coding RNA, 1006 nt
Filed under: Homo sapiens (human)
Lineage: Eukaryota; Metazoa; Chordata; Mammalia; Primates; Hominidae
Description: HSALNT0151217
Source: RNAcentral
AACGUGAGUGGUGGAACAUCCUGUUGCUGAAGAGCCCUUGCCAUGCUGAAGCAAGCAGUUUUAUAGCCUGCAGCUGCACCCUAAGUGGGAGUGUGACAGAGAGCCUCCUGCCUUGUCAGGCUCCAGGAGGCAAUAACGAACUGUCUCCUGACAGCCUUUUAAGAAGAUACGGAGGCAAGUUAGAGAUGGCCUUGUAAAUUUAAAAAUUGUUGAUCAAGAGAUUUAUUUUAAUGCUGAAGAAUGGAAAAGCAAGUUAUGCCAUGAAAGAUGGCAUUUUGUGUGGCAACAAAUAAAAUUUAAAGAGCAAUUUUUAGAUUUGUUAACUUUAUGCCAGUAUGUGUUCAGUAUAUCAGCUCAUAAUGUUAGUACUGAGAGUGGCUUCUCAUUAAUGAAUAUUCAAUGAACAAAAGAACAAUAUAAGUUGGAUGUGACCACUGUUGAAGCUACAUUACAAUGUAAUGGGAACACAGACUAUAAUUGCAAGAAAUUUUGUUAGCAAAUUCUGCAAAACAAGCAGCUGCUGGGGACAGCCAAAUCAUCAAGGAAAUGCAAUUUUUAAGAGGCAUGUCAUUUAGAUUUUUAUCAGCUAUUUCAGAUAAACAUCAGGUAAUUUUUAGUACAAUAUACCAUUUCUAAUACUUUUUAAAAUUUCAAUCUGCAAUGCAUAAGCAAUUCAAAAUAAUUCAAAUCUACCUGAGUGUCUCAUAUUUUUAUUUGUGUAAUCAGACAAACCUAGCUAGGGGUCAAGUGAAAGAUGAUCCAGGACCUUCCAAAGCUAACUAAUUUACUUAGGAGCCAAUCUUUCACACAAGCAGACCAUGAACUAAAGAGGAAAAUAUCCAUGGUAAAUAUAGGUUCCUCAGGUAAAUCCUAGAAUCCUAGAGAUUGCCUACAGCCAAGAGAAGAAAUCCCAUCAUUAAUUCAGCCCUGUGUCAAUAGUCUAACAGCUGGAAAGAUGCACAGAAAGACAGUCAAUCCAUUUGUUGUACAAAUUUCUCAAUACUUU